CACAACACGCCUACUGUCUGCCUCAGUUGACGCCAACAACAGCAGGACAUUAAAAGAGAAAGUAAAAUCUCUCCCACAUCCAUCUCACCAUGUCAGCCACGCGGUGCGUUCAGCACAGCCAUCGCUCCUCAGAGGGAGCGUUUCCCUGUUGGGACAAGAAAUUAAAUCUGCUACUGCAAAGAGGAGGACGAGGCAGGAGGGAGGAGGAGACUGAGAGGAUGCUGGCUCGGCAAACCAGCAGCUCUGAUAAUGGAGCUCUCUCCCACUUGCACAGCCCGCUAGGCCAUUCGAGCUCUGCCCAUGUGAUCCCAGAGCUAUCAGUGUCGCACUGUGUUUGGAUGUGAGAGAGUGAAGUGAUAGAGAACAUGGUGGCUAGGAAAUGCAUGUGAUGGAAAGGAAGCAAAUGAAAUGGUGUUUUUGCACCGUUACAGCUACAGUGGAACUGCAGGCCAACGACAGCAUCUAAAGAUUGCAACCCUUAUUUUGCCAUGAUACAAAAAACGUAUUAGUUUAUUUUUUUCUUGGCAGGGACGCCACUGAGAUUGUAUUUUGUAGGUCUGCACCGAAACAUACAUAUCCGUACACUGUAUAUAGUCACACACAUAGAGUAUGUAUAAUAGGCCAAGUGGGAAGCUCAACAAUAUGCAGUAUUCAGCACCCUUUUAUGUAUGGUGCUAGUACUGGGCGAUAUGACAGCAAACACUUAAAAACGUACAAUUAUGUAUCUUCAUAAAUUCCUAUCGUAAAAAUACACAACUGUGCUGCUAUUUCUUUUGAUCACUGUUAGGGCUUCGGCCCCUCCCUCCUGAGCCCUGGCCCACCUUGGGCAGGUGUGAGUGUUUUUAUUGAUUGCAGGUUGGACGCCAGACGGGUGGAGCGGCCACAGCUGCUGGCAAUGACAAUCAGCCAUCUUCAUAAGCCAGUGGACGCCACCACCUCGUCGCCCGAUCAAGUAGUCUGUUCACCACGUCCUGACUUUGCGCGCUCCUGUCAGAUUCCACACCUGCCUUCCUGCCGAGCUUCCACGCCCCACGUCGGCUCAGCUACCCCGAGCAGAACGAUCUACGCCCGCCACGUUAUUGUUUGUGCUCGCCAAUAAAAUAUUUCUCGCCACAACCCCUGUUUGUCUGCAUUUGGAUCCCCUCUCGUCGCACACCCUAACAAUCACUCGAUGUCCUGAUAUCAGCAAACCA
Long non-coding RNA from Corythoichthys intestinalis (scribbled pipefish), 1193 nucleotides. RefSeq lists it as uncharacterized. NCBI's taxonomy places the organism in Eukaryota, Metazoa, Chordata, Actinopteri, Syngnathiformes, Syngnathidae. The transcript is spliced from 3 exons. The record is from RefSeq and is a predicted model, not a curated record.